This 786-nucleotide long non-coding RNA is filed under the name Capra hircus (goat). RNAcentral describes it as "lncRNA (ENSCHIG00000004541.1)". Lineage: Eukaryota; Metazoa; Chordata; Mammalia; Artiodactyla; Bovidae. The record is from RNAcentral.
AAAUAUGAAGAGGCUUAAAAACAGGCUUGUGGCCAAACCCCACCCCCUCCUCCUCUUCUUCCAGGGCCUAUCUCCACCCAAUCCCUUGCAGAGGGGCAGCCACUCCAGCACCCUGCUGGAGGCAGGAGUGUUGCCACUGUGGGGUGACUAGCCAGCCAGCAACCCCCCACCAAGAUGGCAGCUCAGGGAGACAGCAGGGCCUUUGUCUGGUCCUGACCCUGCCGAGGGGCCCACCGGCCUGAGUUUGCUCAAUGUUAAUAAUUGACCAGGUGCCCAGGGACAGGGCCCCUCCGGCCACCUGGAUGAAGGGCACUUGGGGCUGGGGCCUUGGCCUCCCACAGCAUCAGGGAAGGAGACCAGGUGCGCUGGCCCCUGCGUGUCAGGACAGGAAGGCCUGCACGAGGCUGCCGUGGCUCCAGCCUGGCGAGGCAUCUGCGAGAAAGAGUGAGCACUGUCCCCUGGGAGCCGUACACGGCAGAGAGGUGACUCGCGUCACAGAGCGCACGAGGUGACCGGAGAUGGUGAUGCCGGCUGCUUCCCAGGCUGGGGCAUUGGAGCCCAGUGUGUGGGCCGGCCCUGCCUCCCACCUGCUGUGUGGCCUUGGACUGUGGCUUAACACCUCUGGACCUCAAGAGUCUCACCUCUCCUCACAGAGGGGUUUCGAGGGUUGAAUGAGAUCUUGUAUGUAGAGCGCGGAGGAAAUAAAAUGACUUAAGUUCCAAUGGACUGUGGCCUCCUCUGUCUUCUACUAAAGAAAGCCAUGAUUCACCUCUGGGUUGAUGGCCC